AUGAUUCUUGCUGGAUGUGACACAAGGCCACUGUACCCCUCACUCUGCAAUUUUGUUUCCCCAACCCCUCGAAGCAAUUUUAGAAGUUACUAUUCUCAACCUACGUCUACAAAACAUCUCAGCCAAAGACUCGGUGAUGCUGCAUCCCACGGAUCAUCCCACCACUUCAGCACGGGAAAUCUGUCGCCCCUUCACGGCACUAGCGCAACCAGCCCGAUGCCUUUUGCCUUCCCAUGUGCUAUUCUUAAACUACCCGAGCUGCUGCUGCCUCUCCUUAGAGAGAGCUGCUAUUUGGUUAGCAAAAUGGCACGAAGCCGACCUGCUGCUGCGAGCUCCAUCUUCUUGGAUAGAAGCCAAGCCUGAACAGGUUGAGGAGAAGAGGCUGCCGUGGACCAAGUGUGCAAGA
This 406-nucleotide long non-coding RNA is filed under the name Struthio camelus australis. RNAcentral's name for it is "lncRNA (ENSSCUG00000007260.1)". The record is from RNAcentral. Lineage: Eukaryota; Metazoa; Chordata; Aves; Struthioniformes; Struthionidae.